UUGCGCCUACGGGGGGCAGCAGUGAGGAAUAUUGGUCAAUGGACGGAAGUCUGAACCAGCCAUGCCGCGUGCAGGAAGACGGCUCUAUGAGUUGUAAACUGCUUUUGUACAAGGGUAAACCUGAAUACGUGUAUUCAGCUGAAAGUACUGUACGAAUAAGGAUCGGCUACCUCCGUGCCAGCAGCCGCGGUAAUACGGAGGAUCCAAGCGUUAUCCGGAUUUAUUGGGUUUAAAGGGUGCGUAGGCGGUCGGAUAAGUUAGAGGUGAAAUCCCGAGGCU
This 279-nucleotide ribosomal RNA is filed under the name uncultured bacterium. RNAcentral's name for it is "partial 16S ribosomal RNA". It matches the Rfam family "Bacterial small subunit ribosomal RNA", at positions 333 to 609 of the family's 1533-position model. The record is from RNAcentral.